This is a long non-coding RNA of Maniola jurtina (meadow brown), 491 nucleotides long. RefSeq lists it as uncharacterized. The transcript has 2 exons. The record is from RefSeq and is a predicted model, not a curated record. Lineage: Eukaryota; Metazoa; Arthropoda; Insecta; Lepidoptera; Nymphalidae.
CGACAUAGUGAACGAAAAUCUGUUUGAAACGAAAAAUUUGAUACAUGAUAACACAAAUUUCGGUUACCUAAGACUCUUGAGUGACAAUCAGUUUGAUAGAGAAGUUAUAAAGAAUUUCGGUGAAGACACUGAUACGGUUAACGUGUAUGAAGAUAUAACAAUACUUGGUGAAGACGGUGAACUAAAACAUUUGAAGUACAAGUCUGCGAAACCAAAAAUUCCGGAGAAAUUUCAAAAUUUGGUGAAAAACAGUGAAAAAGGUGAAAGUGAUGAAAAAAGUGAAGGACAUGGUGAAAAAAAUUCAGUAGAUGGACAAAAGUCGAAGUUUUUUGAUGAAAUUGGGUCUUUAACUACGUAACCUUAGAGAAAAUGUUAUAACAACGAAAGUGAAAAGGAACGCAGCUCGCGCGCGACGCUUACUUCCGACUUCGGACUUCCCCUGCUAACACGUCGUGGGCACAGAUUAAACAGAUAAAAAUUAAAAAAAAAAC